GAUGAACGCUGGCGGCGUGCCUAAUACAUGCAAGUCGAGCGAACAGAUGAGGAGCUUGCUCCUCUGACGUUAGCGGCGGACGGGUGAGUAACACGUGGAUAACCUACCUAUAAGACUGGGAUAACUUCGGGAAACCGGAGCUAAUACCGGAUAAUAUAUUGAACCGCAUGGUUCAAUAGUGAAAGACGGUUUUGCUGUCACUUAUAGAUGGAUCCGCGCCGCAUUAGCUAGUUGGUAAGGUAACGGCUUACCAAGGCAACGAUGCGUAGCCGACCUGAGAGGUGGACCGGCCACACGGUAACUGACACCGGGACCAGACACCUACGGGAGGAACCGUGGGGGAAUCUUCCGAAAGGGGCUGAGGCCGAACGGAACAACCCCGCGUGAGUAAUAAAGGUCUUCGGUCCGUAAAACUGUUUUAUGAGGAAAAAAAAAAUUGGUAAUAAACACGGCACUUCUGGCCGAUACCUAAUAAGAAAACCACCGCAACCUCCGCC
This 497-nucleotide ribosomal RNA is filed under the name uncultured bacterium. RNAcentral's name for it is "partial 16S ribosomal RNA". It matches the Rfam family "Bacterial small subunit ribosomal RNA", at positions 28 to 507 of the family's 1533-position model. The record is from RNAcentral.